GAUGAACUGCUGGCGGCGUGCCUAAUACAUGCAAGUCGAGCGAACAGACAAGGAGCUUGCUCCUUUGACGUUAGCGGCGGACGGGUGAGUAACACGUGGGUAACCUACCUAUAAGACUGGGAUAACUUCGGGAAACCGGAGCUAAUACCGGAUAAUAUUUCGAACCGCAUGGUUCGAUAGUGAAAGAUGGUUUUGCUAUCACUUAUAGAUGGACCCGCGCCGUAUUAGCUAGUUGGUAAGGUAACGGCUUACCAAGGCGACGAUACGUAGCCGACCUGAGAGGGUGAUCGGCCACACUGGAACUGAGACACGGUCCAGACUCCUACGGGAGGCAGCAGUAGGGAAUCUUCCGCAAUGGGCGAAAGCCUGACGGAGCAACGCCGCGUGAGUGAUGAAGGUCUUCGGAUCGUAAAACUCUGUUAUUAGGGAAGAACAUACGUGUAAGUAACUAUGCACGUCUUGACGGUACCUAAUCAGAAAGCCACGGCUAACCACGUGCCAGCAGCCGCGGUAAUACGUAGGUGGCAAGCGUUAUCCGGAAUUAUUGGGCGUAAAGCGCGCGUAGGCGGUUUUUUAAGUCUGAUGUGAAAGCCCACGGCUCAACCGUGGAGGGUCAUUGGAAACUGUAAAACUUGAGUGCAGAAGAGGAAAGUGGAAUCCCAUGUGUAGCGGUGAAAUGCGCAGAGAUAUGGAGGAACACCAGUGGCGAAGGCGACUUUCUGGUCUGUAACUGACGCUGAUGUGCGAAAGCGUGGGGAUCAAACAGGAUUAGAUACCCUGGUAGUCCACGCCGUAAACGAUGAGUGCUAAGUGUUAGGGGGUUUCCGCCCCUUAGUGCUGCAGCUAACGCAUUAAGCACUCCGCCUGGGGAGUACGACCGCAAGGUUGAAACUCAAAGGAAUUGACGGGGACCCGCACAAGCGGUGGAGCAUGUGGUUUAAUUCGAAGCAACGCGAAGAACCUUACCAAAUCUUGACAUCCUUUGACAACUCUAGAGAUAGAGCCUUCCCCUUCGGGGGACAAAGUGACAGGUGGUGCAUGGUUGUCGUCAGCUCGUGUCGUGAGAUGUUGGGUUAAGUCCCGCAACGAGCGCAACCCUUAAGCUUAGUUGCCAUCAUUAAGUUGGGCACUCUAAGUUGACUGCCGGUGACAAACCGGAGGAAGGUGGGGAUGACGUCAAAUCAUCAUGCCCCUUAUGAUUUGGGCUACACACGUGCUACAAUGGACAAUACAAAGGGCAGCGAAACCGCGAGGUCAAGCAAAUCCCAUAAAGUUGUUCUCAGUUCGGAUUGUAGUCUGCAACUCGACUACAUGAAGCUGGAAUCGCUAGUAAUCGUAGAUCAGCAUGCUACGGUGAAUACGUUCCCGGGUCU
RNAcentral lists this ribosomal RNA (1373 nucleotides) under uncultured bacterium. RNAcentral's name for it is "bacterial SSU rRNA". It matches the Rfam family "Bacterial small subunit ribosomal RNA", at positions 28 to 1381 of the family's 1533-position model. The record is from RNAcentral.